Molecule: ribosomal RNA, 1197 nt
Filed under: Escherichia coli
Lineage: Bacteria; Pseudomonadati; Pseudomonadota; Gammaproteobacteria; Enterobacterales; Enterobacteriaceae
Also listed under: 1 other name
Description: partial 23S ribosomal RNA
Rfam family: Bacterial large subunit ribosomal RNA
Source: RNAcentral
GUUAAGCGACUAAGCGUACACGGUGGAUGCCCUGGCAGUCAGAGGCGAUGAAGGACGUGCUAAUCUGCGAUAAGCGUCGGUAAGGUGAUAUGAACCGUUAUAACCGGCGAUUUCCGAAUGGGGAAACCCAGUGUGAUUCGUCACACUAUCAUUAACUGAAUCCAUAGGUUAAUGAGGCGAACCGGGGGAACUGAAACAUCUAAGUACCCCGAGGAAAAGAAAUCAACCGAGAUUCCCCCAGUAGCGGCGAGCGAACGGGGAGCAGCCCAGAGCCUGAAUCAGUGUGUGUGUUAGUGGAAGCGUCUGGAAAGGCGUGCGAUACAGGGUGACAGCCCCGUACACAAAAAUGCACAUACUGUGAGCUCGAUGAGUAGGGCGGGACACGUGGUAUCCUGUCUGAAUAUGGGGGGACCAUCCUCCAAGGCUAAAUACUCCUGACUGACCGAUAGUGAACCAGUACCGUGAGGGAAAGGCGAAAAGAACCCCGGCGAGGGGAGUGAAAAAGAACCUGAAACCGUGUACGUACAAGCAGUGGGAGCACGCUUAGGCGUGUGACUGCGUACCUUUUGUAUAAUGGGUCAGCGACUUAUAUUCUGUAGCAAGGUUAACCGAAUAGGGGAGCCGAAGGGAAACCGAGUCUUAACUGGGCGUUAAGUUGCAGGGUAUAGACCCGAAACCCGGUGAUCUAGCCAUGGGCAGGUUGAAGGUUGGGUAACACUAACUGGAGGACCGAACCGACUAAUGUUGAAAAAUUAGCGGAUGACUUGUGGCUGGGGGUGAAAGGCCAAUCAAACCGGGAGAUAGCUGGUUCUCCCCGAAAGCUAUUUAGGUAGCGCCUCGUGAAUUCAUCUCCGGGGGUAGAGCACUGUUUCGGCAAGGGGGUCAUCCCGACUUACCAACCCGAUGCAAACUGCGAAUACCGGAGAAUGUUAUCACGGGAGACACACGGCGGGUGCUAACGUCCGUCGUGAAGAGGGAAACAACCCAGACCGCCAGCUAAGGUCCCAAAGUCAUGGUUAAGUGGGAAACGAUGUGGGAAGGCCCAGACAGCCAGGAUGUUGGCUUAGAAGCAGCCAUCAUUUAAAGAAAGCGUAAUAGCUCACUGGUCGAGUCGGCCUGCGCGGAAGAUGUAACGGGGCUAAACCAUGCACCGAAGCUGCGGCAGCGACGCUUAUGCGUUGUUGGGUAGGGGAGCGU